UGACGAAAAAGUUUGUCAAUCUGAUGAAGCAUGCUGAAGAUGGUAUCCUUGACCUAAAUAAGGCUGCAGAAACAUUGGAGGUGAAGAAGAGGAGGAUAUAUGAUAUAACAAAUGUCUUGGAGGGCAUUGGUCUUAUCGAAAAGAAGUUCAAAAACAGAAUACAGUGGAAGGGUGUUGGUGCUUCAAAGCCAGGAGAAACAGAUGGCGACGUCUCUGUAAUACAGG
Molecule: long non-coding RNA, 225 nt
Organism: Gossypium raimondii (Peruvian cotton)
Lineage: Eukaryota; Viridiplantae; Streptophyta; Magnoliopsida; Malvales; Malvaceae
Exons: 3
Source: RefSeq, a predicted model, not a curated record